Long non-coding RNA from Syzygium oleosum, 1387 nucleotides. RefSeq lists it as uncharacterized. The record is from RefSeq and is a predicted model, not a curated record. NCBI's taxonomy places the organism in Eukaryota, Viridiplantae, Streptophyta, Magnoliopsida, Myrtales, Myrtaceae. The transcript has 2 exons.
CAUUUGAUCAUAGGAUAAAAUUAAAUUUCCCACCGAAAAUGUCCACGUAAUGAUAUUUAUAAAUUAAGUAAUGGUUGCACCUGCUCAUUGUUUUAUUACGAACUAAUGAAAAACAUGGGCCCGCCCAAAAAAUAUGCCGUCACUCGAGUCAAGAAAAGACAGCCAAGAAAUGGUAAGGAAUGCCGCCUAGGUAUCUCUCCUUGCGUGUGUUCAAAGUGAAAAAUGAAACCUGAAUAGUGUCUGGUUGAUUGCGGAUACUGGGGAAGGCUUUUUUGUUUAUGGCGAAAUAGAGAGGAGUUACCUCAAUUCUGAAGAUGUUGCGAGACCCGGUUUUCCUCAAGCUCUUCCUGCCGUGAGGGACGACGGAUUGAGCCAAGCACACCAUGGACUCCCACUGGUUUCGGUUCAGCGAGUCGCCCACGAACAUGAGCCUCUUGUUCCUCAGCUUCUGAAGCAGCAACCUUGGCUUGAACCUUAAAAAGAAAAAAGCAAGAACACCCCAUGAAUUGGACUCAGGUUCCAAAUCAAGAACAACGAAGAGAUCAUCAAAGUUUUGAAGGAGUUUACUUACUUGGGCAGAGAGCAGUCUCUGGGUUGCCAUCUCCAGCUCUGGUACUUGGAGUCCUUCCUUCCAUUCCUCAUGCAGGUCACUUGUGCCGUGAGGAACUCACACUCGUCUUCUCCGUACAGAGGGUGUGUGACAUUGUCAAAGACCCAUUGCCCCGUGAAGAGGUCACACUCUUGUGGUGGCAAUUCAACCUCUUCCUCAUCCUCUUCAAUCACUGCCAUUUCGAUCUUCUGCUCCUCCUCUUCCUCUUCCUUGUUCGGUGAUCUUGAUUUUGCAUCAUCAAGAGCCUCCUGUUUUGUUGAUCGAGUGCUCCCGGCCAGAGCCUUCUCUGCAUUAAGCUUGUUUGGCUCUGACCCUUCUUGGAUUUCCUGAUUCUUAGGCCAUGAGAAUGGGAAUUCGGCAAUCGACUUCACGUCCUCGUUGUACAUGAAGACCCCGAACAGGAACAUCGAGAACACGACCACAAAGACAGAGAGGUUGUUGCCCUUCCGGCCUCCCCCACCGCCGACCCCCGCUGCUGCAUGCUUCAUGGCGGCCAUCUCGGACGAGAAGAGCUUCGUCUUACGGCGAGGCGGCUGCAUGGAAGAAGGGAAAGUUUGAGUGCUAUGGUGAGAUUGUGGAGGCGAAGAGAGGAGGAAAAAUAUAGAGAGACUAAAUUGAGCAUCAUGGGUGGAGAGCAGAUGCUUACAUCCAUUAAGUUUUUUGGUUUAUUGAGGUUUGGUGGGAAGGUGUUUUCUUCAACAAGACUUGUUAGGGGUCACCGGCUGAUGUAGAUUGAUGAGUUGUCUUUCUCAGAAAAUAUUAUUCCCCGCCUCCUAA